This 903-nucleotide long non-coding RNA is filed under the name Phoenix dactylifera (date palm). RNAcentral describes it as "long non-coding RNA (PDAC_LNC017183)". Lineage: Eukaryota; Viridiplantae; Streptophyta; Magnoliopsida; Arecales; Arecaceae. The record is from RNAcentral.
UUAGAGAGUGGUUAAGAAUAAAAAAAGUAACUGGAGGGAUAACUUUCCCUUUUCUAUGUUGUAAGAAUAAAUUCCCAUAUGAGGAAUUUAAUGCAGUUCUUAAGUAUGGGUUUGUGAUUCAUCCACUGUUUUUAAUAUUUUAUGAUUUAUACAUUAGUUACUCUUGCAUUUUUAACAUUUGGGGAUUCUACAGUUAUUAAUACUUCUUCUAAAUUCUCUUUUCUUUCAAAGAAUUUGUUAUGGCUUUGGCAUGUGGUGCAUGGGAGAGCAUGUCAUGCAUUACUGUUGUUUGCAUCAAGUUUUUGUCGAAAAAAACUUCAUUGAUCUGGCUCAGUCCCAUGGACAGAAAUUAGUGUUUAAAAAGAAAAUCCUUUCAGACGAACGUAUUGCAUACUUAACAUUGCUUGGGUUGAGUUAAGAAAGUUUGAAUGUGUUGUUGUGUUUCAGGUUUAAGACUUGGAGGAAGGAUACUUGCCGAUGAAACUGGGACAGAGUUAGUAUUGAAAGAGAGACCUGGAUUUUGACUUCAAUCCAUUUACAGAAAAUAGAAUUUUCUUCAGCCAUCUUGCUUUCUCUUAGUGCUGGUUAUUUUAUCCUCCCUUCUUGAUCUGGCCAUAGCUGUGGACAUGUUGUACUCCUAAUGUUUAUAGUCAUCAUCUGACCAAAGAUAUUUAUAUACUACAAACAAGAGAAGUUCAUGGUUCUGUUGGUUCUUCUGGUGGUCCUGAUGUGGUGCUGACGGUCCUACUAUAGUUCUCAAAAAGUAAUUGAUCCUUAGGUCUACCUAAACCAUCUUUUUAGCUUUAUAAUUAGCAUCUAAUUUUGCAAUUAUCAUCUGACACAGGACAUUUGUACUAAUGCACUAUAAAGUAAUGUAUGAGAGAACUCUCAUGUAGCAAUGAG